AGUGUACUGUGAACUUCGAUGGUGGUAAGACUUGCCUGUCUCUCUCUCCAGUGCAUCCCCAUUUUCUGAGAAUCGCUAGGGUCGAGGCCGACCCACAUGAUGCUAGAAAGGUAGAAAAUUUGGCCAUCGCACUUGUCGUGGAUGGGGGCCCAUUUACUGUACAUAUCCAUUAGGUGGUAGAUGUGGCCGUCAGAGUAAGCGUCGGCUGUGGCCAUUUUAUUGGCAGAUCCGAAAAGACAGACGACUUCAAAUCACUUCCGUUUGAUCCCUUCUAAGAGAAGAGUCAUCAUGAGCAGCGUCCUUUGACGCGACGGCGGAAGCGACUGUCAAAGAGAUACGACGGUCGGUAACUCCAUUUCUGCGACGAACUUCGAAAAGGACUUUAUGAAGCCGGGAUGGACAUUGUGACUCCGAUUGAAGGAAAAAUGGCAACAGUGAAAGCAGAUUGAGCUGUAGAGGCAGCCUCCUUGAAUGAAGCAAUCUGAUACGUGAGCAUUUUACUCUGGAGGCUAUUCGUCAAGGCAGUUUGGGGUGUGUCGAGUAUGUACAUUCGUUUGUAUGGAUGUCACAAGUCUAACCGACCAAGGCGCUUGCGAGAGGCACAUUCCUUUUGUGAGAAGAAAGAGGUCGGUUUGGUAAACGCCAGGUGUCGGGAGAAAAACCCCAUCUUAACGGUAUGGCACAUAUUUUGUUGGACUUAGAAAACCGUUGCCUUUGAAAAGAGAGAGAAGUGUGAAAUACAUUCUUUUACUUAAUAUUACUUUUGAAAAGAGUGAUGUGUGAAGUGUAUCUUUUUAUCCAAUAUUAUCUUAUGCAUCUUCAUUACAGAUGGGUUCUAUUCCAUGAUAUUAGAGACGGGAUUCUCUAUCCUGACUAAUAAAAUGAAACGAUAGACAUUCUGGG
Molecule: long non-coding RNA, 903 nt
Organism: Macrobrachium nipponense
Lineage: Eukaryota; Metazoa; Arthropoda; Malacostraca; Decapoda; Palaemonidae
Exons: 5
Source: RefSeq, a predicted model, not a curated record